UACGGGGGGAGCAAGCGUUGUUCGGAUUUACUGGGCGUAAAGGGCGCGUAGGCGGUAGCACAAGUCAGUUGUGAAAUCUCCGGGCUUAACUCGGAAAGGUCAACUGAUACUGUGCGACUAGAGUGCAGAAGGGGCAACUGGAAUUCUCGGUGUAGCGGUGAAAUGCGUAGAUAUCGAGAGGAACACCAGUGGCGAAGGCGACUUCCUGGCCUGUUCUUGACGCUGAGGCGCGAAAGCUAGGGGAGCAAACGGG
Molecule: ribosomal RNA, 253 nt
Filed under: uncultured bacterium
Lineage: Bacteria
Description: partial 16S ribosomal RNA
Rfam family: Bacterial small subunit ribosomal RNA
Source: RNAcentral